CAGAGAGGCACAAGUCCAUUUGCCCUAGUUUUCUACCUUCAAUACAUUUACAUAUUAUAUAAAAUGAACCAAUUCCCUUUCUGCAAAUGAGGAGGUGGAUGUUAUAGUUCUGCCGAUUAAUUAGUACUGAAAUUCCACCUUUAUCUUUAUCUUAUAAACAUUAUAAAACUGAAAAAUCCACGAAGAAACUCAUAAACAAAAUUUAACUGCUCUGUAAGCAACAUGUAAUUCUCAAUUGAAAUCACAGCUUAAAUGACAAUUUUUUCCAAAAGCAAUACAGAAAAAGAUUCAAUAGUAUUUUGGUGGAUACAUAGUACUCAGUAAGGAUGUGUUGAUAUUAUUUGGAAUAGAUAUAGAGAUCAUCUAUUGAAAAAGGUGUAUGCAAGUGGAAUACAUACACUACAGUACAGAGCUGAUGCCCACGUUGGAGGAUAUAAAACGCUGAAUACAAGUGAGGGACGUGCCCGUUCGUUGGUUUUGCCCGCAGUGUAAAUGUCCUCCGAAAGAAUCAUCCACGACGGACGCAGAUAGUAAAGGCCAACCGAGGUGUUCUUCAUCUGUCCAAGUCCAAAGCACUUUCCACAUGCGUUUCUGGCCCCUGUAAGGCCGGGGGUGGGGUCGCAAAGCCCUCGUGAAGUGCGAACUUUAACAAACUUCAUGCGAUGCUCAUUGGCUACACACCGCUCUGCCCACGUGGGCUUUGGUAAUUUGUCUCACGAUCGUGACUUCGACGCUCCUGUUGGUUUUGGGUUCGCUGCCAUUUACUCUGGUCUGCCCUCAUUUUGUAAUUUCACUCCUAUUAGGGCUUGUCAACGUACAUUGUCAACCGUUUUACGCCAAAUUAAGUAUCGACGUCCGCAAUGCUCAUCCGCUUCCAGCUCACUCCAUUGGUUUGCCCUUAAGCAGAAUAUAGUUUUGGGCUCAUAAGGGGGGUUUCCUUCUGGAUGUCAAUACGAAGGGUGCAUAGUCCAAUACCAGCAUAAUUAAUGUGGUGAUGCUGUUGUUGAAUUUGUGCCUCCAACCUAAUCUCGCAUUGUCAACAACUCGUUGAAAUCGAAGUGGAAAUUUACCCGAGUUUGUGGCAGAGAUUAUUUACAGUUCACAAGGGUUUGAUCUCGGGGUUCCAAGAAAGUAGGGCGUUGAUUAUGGAAAGGCAAAUGCUGGUUAAGGUGUCUCCGCCGGCGAUGACCUGCAAGAGCAUGAUCGAUUGUCUGCCAAGAGCAGCUAAGCAUGAGCAAUUCAGCAUUCUGGAACCAGGGCCACAAGUUUCAAGCGCAGCAGGUAACAACCUUAUUUAAUUUCGAAUAAUGAGGUUAGCUGGCGGAGGGAUGAGAAGCGCUGUGGGGGUCAAUGUAAGCGCUCUAUCCCCCUCCCGAAUUGGAAAACGAAUCCCCGAAGGUCGAUCGGGGACGAUUGAACGGAUUGUCGAGGGUUUGAACGGGAAGGGUGGGGAUGGGGUGAAACAGGCCCAAGAGACCUUGGACCGUUCGUUACCGCUCGCUAGCUUACUCGCUUUCUUCUUGUGAGAUCGAACCCUGAAUUCGCCGGAACGCUUUAGGGAUGUCCCGGUAGGAGCUUUUUCAUUCGUGCGGAGUCCGCUGGAGGGGCUUUAUCAUCCUGGGACGAGAAAAGCCCAUCCACGUGGGUCUGGGUCCCUGAAGUGCUCGCUUCCCAGCCUCUAUUCCUCCCUCGCUUCGCUUUUGUUGCAUCUCACUCAGCACUCGCAGAUCGCGCACUGAGCGCCUGCCUCCCCUGUAGUGUCUCCUCUCGAUCUUCCCUUUCCCUUGCCUUGUCUUCGUUCUUUCCUGCUCUCUUUCGAUUUCUCUAUUGCAUCCUGGCGUUGGGUGCACUGCUAGUUUGACGGUGUUCUCCUAUCGUUUGCGCCGCAGUUUGGGUUGUGCGAACGGUUGGUCGAGUGUAAGCCAGAGUUGGAGGGUUUCUGAAGUUUUUGGGUUAACCAGGUUUGUUGUGAUAGAAGAGUUGCCGUUGCUAUCGUGUGUGGCGUAGUAAGUUUUGGUUAGAGAAGUGGAGAUUUGAGAGAUUUUUGAGAGCUUUUUUUUGCACGGCGCUCAAUUAGACGGGUUUGCUCUGUCCAACUUGCUAACUUGCAACUGGAUCUGUGUGUGGGCAUUCCGCUACAAUCUGCUACGUUUUGAGUGACUUUCCUGCAAUCGCCGAGUUUAUGUUUGUGUGGUGUUUCGGAGAUGAGCUGUUGAAGAUACUUUACUUGCACACAAGCCUGUUCUUCGCAUUUCUUCGUCACCGUCGUCAUUUGCUGUCUAACACUACUAUCGAAGCAUCUGUCUUGCUUGUCUACUACAACUUUAUUUGCGUCGUCUGCUCCGAGUCGUCGGCCAGACUUUUUUAGAGAGCAUUUGGGAACAGCCGUCCUCACCAUUCAAGUUUUGAUUUUGAGGGGUGUUUCUACGGAAGACGGUAGUGGAAGCGGAGGUAUCACAGCGGGUGGACGUUUCCCAGAUCUCUGGAUGGGGCUUUGGGUGCAGGUAGUGCAACGGGGAAUGAUUUCAGUCACCAUCCAUAACAGCGAACGUUUCACACAAGGCGGUGGGAGAAAUAGAAUUCAUGGGUGUGAAUGAGAGAUAGUGGGCGAAGAUUUCAGAGAUGAGCGACAACCAGUUUCAGGUUUGAAGGUAGUUUUUCAGGUUUUAUAUUCUAUUGCAGAGCUUGACUUUUGCUUUGACCGAUGGUACAAAGGAAAAAGUUGUUGCUCUCCUUAAGAUUGGGUUAGGAUUUCAGUGUGGUUACGGAACACCAAGGACUAAAGUUAUGAUCCCGAUGACACCCAGUUCUUCUGCUGCUGGCUACCGUGAGCACGAAGGCGCAGGCGAAGAAGGCACCUAUUGGCCAUCCGUGUCGCCUGGCGUUCCGCUCUCUACCUCGGGAGAUGAAGGUGCAAGUACCAAGGUGCGGAAGCCCUACACGAUAACCAAACAGAGAGAGAGGUGGACCGAGGAGGAACACCAAAAGUUUUUAGAGGCACUGAAGCUCUAUGGGCGCGCUUGGCGCAGGAUUGAAGAACACAUUGGCACGAAGACCGCCGUGCAGAUUCGGUCUCAUGCUCAGAAGUUUUUCUCCAAAAUAGAAAGGGACGUGACUGCGGGGCAAGGGACCGAAACAGGGGUAGCACAGGUGAUAGAUAUUCCCCCACCUCGUCCCAAGAGGAAGCCCACUCACCCGUAUCCUCGCAAAGCUGGUCGCAGCUUUGGUAAAACAUCUGAGGACGAGUGCCCUUUGGCAGCUGCAGGUUCGAUUGUUUCUUCUUCCGGUGUUUCCACUGCGAAUAUUUCAGAAGCUUGUUUAAAGGAAGGCGUGUGGGAUCAAGAUGAUACUGGAGUGGCUGGUCAUCAAGAUGCUGCCAAAGCAAAGAAAGACGCCGAUACCGCUCAUUCUUGGGGCGUCCCAAAGACGGUCAAUUCCGCCACUUCAGGUUCACCAACGGCUCGGCCUGUCAAUGUGGCUCUAAAUGGUGGACUGCCGCUUAACAACAUUUCGCCGGUUCCAAUUCCAGGUUUCCCAGCCAUGCCGCCGUGGAAUCGGCUUUUCGGUGGAGCGAUGAACCCGGCCAUGAUGAAUCCUGCGAUGUUGAAUUCUGCGAUGAUGAACCCGCAGGGUAUGCUUAUGCCUUGGGCUACAGCGCCCAACGUUCAAGGUCUUGAGAAUGGAGGUGCGGUCUCAGCCAUGGCGGCCACAAUCGCAGCCGCUUCUGCCUGGUGGGCUAUGCAAGGAGGUAUGCCGCCUGGUGUGAUGCAUCCAGCUUUGGGUGCCAUGUAUUUAGGGGCAGCACCUCCUCUUGCCAUUCCCACACCAUACAUUUUUUCUCAAUGCGUACCCCAAGAGAUCACUGUGGCUGCAGCUCCAUGUGCUGAUGGCAAUGAAGUUCCGACAGCACAGGUUGUGGAUGAUGGCCAGGAAGUCUUAAGCAACAAUAAUCACUCGAGAUCGAGUGCCAUGCGGAGGGCGGAGCGAGCACAGCGGGUGAAAGAGCUCAAGGCUCGGCGAAUGGGCUCGGGAAAUCAUUUGUUGUCUGUUUCGUCUGAUAUUUGUGCUUCCACUUCAGGAGGAAGCGGAACGAAUCUCACCACCCAGUUAACCGCUGGUGGACUGACUUCGGAAAGUGCCGUGAAUUCUCUCUCCAAAGGGAGCUCUCUUCCCGCAGAUCUGAGCAAGGUGAAGCAUGUUCUAAAUGGCCUAAUUCGGAAGGACAGGGAAGCGCCUGUGGAUGGUUGCUCUGCAGAUGACGGAGUCGACAAUCGGAAGCGACUUCGAGGAAGUAGACCCUCAGAUGAUACGGCAAUGCCCGAUGGGGAAGGAUAUCAUUCCACAUCUGGUCUAGGUCGUGAAGCUCCAGGAAGCAUGGAUUCUCAUUUAGAGAAGGUUCGGUCCGUCAGCGGCUCGAAUUCUAUACCCGGGAAGUUUACCAAGGUUGACGUUGAAAGGCUUGCUUGUGAUGAGAAAACUGCUCCUACCCAGGCUUCAUGUGGGAGUGACGUUAGUGAAGGUGCAGGUGUUGCUCCGAUCGAUGGUGAUGGUGAUGGUGAUGCAUCUGGAGGAGGUCCAAGCUCCAAUUCAUCAGCAUGUGGGAAUGUUCCCGGAGGUAAUGAGAGGUCAGGAUCAAGUGAUGGAUCGUCAGAAGGAGAAGCAACCUGCAAUGUUGAUAGACAACGAGAAGCAGGGAAGAACGGGACGAGUUCGUCUGAUCCUGAAGCUGAGGAAGAGGCAGAUGAGAAAGUUGGGAGAGCUGCCGAGCAAUUCACGUUCAACGAAUUUCUCCCGGUUAGUAAAGAUGGGGAUAAACACGAGAAACCUGAGACUUCAUCGAGGCUGCCAAGAACAGUGUCAAUCGAUGGGGAGCAGAGGAAAGAAGUCACCGAAAGGGGCCAGAUCGCCUUUCAGGCUCUAUUUAAACGAGACACUCUACCUCGGACAUUUUCCCCUCCUCCAGGCCUGGCUCUUGGUACAGGAACAAAAGAGGCUGCUAAACAGCAACCAUCUGUGUCUACCAUGAGCAGAAGCCUGAGCGCUAACGCGAUUACAUGCGAUAGCUUGGAGCUACGGACUUCACAACGGAAUCAUAAAGACCAAGAUAGUGCUUUCAAUACAUGGAAUCAUUUGAGAGGUACUUCCAGCGCCUCAAAGGUAGACCGGUGUGAAAGCGGCAUAUCUAUUCCAUCCUCGAGACCAACAAAAAGUUUAGAGGAUCUUCGGUCUUCUGAGCGCCGACGAGGCAGUCGGAAGGGGCGGUCGCACACUGGAGCCAACAACUGGCUCCAAUUGUGGACGGAUACAUCGUCUCUUGACAAAGAUGAGGAUGCAGACGAAGAUGACGAGGAAGACGAGAGUGCCGACUCGGGAGCAGAUGACGGUUGCAAGAAGCAACAACAAAAAGCAAGCUUUGUUUGCAAGCUUGAUAUGUCGAUUUCAAAUCAGGAGGUAGAACUCAUUUCUGAUGUAGAAGGUACGGGUGCUAGCAGCCUUAAUAUUAGUUCGACAGUUAGAAGUCAAACAUUGUUCUUGUCUGUAGGUACAGGUGGUUUGAAGAACGCUGUUUCGAAUGUGCCCACAAGAACUGUGAAAUACAGUGGCGUGGGAUUUGUUCCAUAUCAAAGAGCUUCCACCCGCACGGAGCCUCUUGUAGAUAAGCUUUGAUGAUUGAUGGAGGCUUCUUUCCAUCUUCAAUUUAAUUCAACACCUUAUUUCUUUUCGUGACAUACAAAAGUCACAUUCCACCACUUUCCCACAUGCGUUUGCACAUGCCUGACAUCAACUUGUCCAUUUUACCACGCCUGUAUUUUGCUCUACGAGCUCGUUCCAGGUGUUCGCCUCUCCUUCAGGAGGAGGAGCUCAAAUCUUUUUCAGAUUUUCCCACAAUCUAUCUACUCAGUCUGUACUCAUUAUAGUGCUUUCCUUCCACUUGUUCCCCAAUCGACAUUAUUGUGCGUUUGCCUCACACGAUCUUGUGUUAUGACAUGGAGGCAAUUUCUACAGAUUUGGUUCUGAUCACCAUUUUGUGUGAGGAUUGUGUGAGAUUUAUCGUGAUGAUUGCGAGUGACCAAUGAAUGUUCUGUGCAGAAGCCGAAUUUGUUGAUGUGACGGAAAGUGAAAGCGACCUUGAAAUCGGAGGGAAUGUACUUUCAUGCCGUUUUCAGCCCAGUUCUGACCAACCAGAACUAGUUCUGGCGUCGUGGAGGUACGUCGUCUUCGGUUGUAGUUUGUAGGUCGCUUGUCAUAUUCCUAUGAAUUGAGAUUCUAAUUGCUCUUGAAGGCAUGUGAUAGGCACCUCAGUUGCUCUGAGCGAGAGAGAGAGAGAACGAACCUUGCCAUGUGCUCGGUGGUGGUUCACCUUGUCCACGCUAAUUGCGAAAAGAGACUUGAUGACGACAAUUAGCUUCUUGUCCUGUUUCUUCAUAUUCUUAUUGCAUGAUGGAUGCUGCAGUGAGUCGGUUCUUCCUGUUCAAUACUGUUAUGCACUUCUAUGCCCUUGAGCACAGUUUGCAACAAAAGUAAGGUCUAGCGCUGAAAAUAGCCACUCAGAAACUAGACAAGCGAUGCAUAAAAUGAUCAAUAUUGUUAUGCAUAAAAAGGUCAGAGCAGCUGCCAGCUUUCUAUUCGGCACAUUAAUUAAUUUCUUCGUAACCUGAACGCGGGAAGCUAAGAUCACCAGCAAAAAAAAGUUCCGAGACUGUAGCUGAUAUCAUGAUGAAUUUGUGAAAUGUCAUGUAAGCGGCUAAUGUAGAAGAAUGACACCGAGGUAAUCCAAUCAUAAGCGUCGUGCCUAAUUUACUGUGAAGCUAUGCUGACAGAAGACCUAAACCUGAUGGUGAUAUAUCAACAAUUUCUACGUUUCACUCAGCAAGCAGCAUUCACCUUCUUCAAGUGAGUGAAAGAGGUAUACGCCUUCAAUGUACCCUCAGAUAUCACAAUCAACUAUUAAUUCCUUCACAUGACUUAUCGUUUCCAGAUUCCAAAUUUCUAUACAUAUGCGGCAACUUGGUGCCAUGCAUGCUUGACUUAUUCCUCGUCAAUUUGUGAUCAAUUCCCUGUCAGCCAGCCUGAAAUGCCCUCGACUUCAGUAGGCCAUUCACUGUAUCUGAUGUCUCACCUGCGUUUGUUCUUUGUUGAAGGUCAAACCACUGAAAGCAUCUAGAAAGUGCGCACUGUAACUCACAAGAGUCGCUCUUCUACAUCGAAGUGGAAGAGCUUGCAUUGUCUUCCUGCACCUGGGAAGAAGGUUAUGAUUGAUCCUUAGAACUGUGAGCUUCCUGGGCUUUUCAGUUCACGACGUUGAGCUUCGAUGGCCAUCCAGUCCUACACAUGGCUCCUGGCCAACUGGAUCAAAUAAAUGCCAUGGGAACCAAAACCCUAAAUUCGGUUUCACUUGAAAAAGAAGUCCUGUUAAUUACCUGCCGUCGGUUCCAGUAGCUCAAAGGGACGUCAGCUGUUGCAGAAUUCACAGCUCCGGCUCACUAUAGAUCAAAAAGUUGCCGUCGUCUUGUAGCUACGCCUAAUAUUUUGCGGGUUUACUGUAGAUGUGGGUGAAGGCCUGGAAUUCGACAAUGUGUGCCAUGUAGACGAUCACAAGAUCGCCAUCAUCCUACACAAUUGCGUAGCAGUUGGCUCCUUGGCCGAACGUGUUGGUCACCCAUGACGGCAGCCGGCUCUUCGCAAAAUCGUACAACACAAGGUUGCAGUCGUUCUGCAUAGCAAGCAGAUACCUGUCAUUCUUGCUCCGAAGGGCGAAUCCUACCGGAAACUGACCUAGUGCCACUACUAUGCUCUGUGCCUCUUGAACCCCAUCCGCAGCGCAUGGAAUGGAGGUUAGUGUCAUCACAAAGUUCAAGAGGUUGAGUAAGCGGCUUUUGAAAAUGUACAUCUCCAUUCCUUAUAAAACAGGUAGUUAUUCUACUUAUGUGCUCGAUUCAUGUUUUAGGUGUGCGUUAUUUUACAAGCCACUCUUAAUUCAUCUUCUUCAUCAUCACCAGGUAUUGCGCAUGAAAAAGGCAGCUGCGACACGCAUUUGUACCCUGUUCGCUCCACCAGUCAUCUGCUGCUAAGUUACAGGAUUGAGUAUCGUAGGCAAUCCAGAAACCGUGUUAAAAUUCAAACCACUUUCCUUUGUUGCUAACAAUCUUUCGUCGCAUAUUGUUGACUAAAGGUAGUGCUGGCGAGUUGGUUUGCACGUCACUUAUGUGUUACGUAUGUAUGGCGUGCUAUUCGUAGAACGCCCGAUCAGGACUGCAAUUGAAGCGAUGAGUGAAAAAUGUACCUUGUUUUAGAAUUCAAAUAUGGCUUCCUAGUUACGACGGUGACAAUUGUGAAUCCAUGAAGCGAUCGUAGCUAAUGGUCGUGUUCCAUGCCAUGGGCGUCGAAGAACCACACGGCAGAGAUGUCAGAAUGGCGUAAUGCUCGGCAAAAGUCCACGAGCUGCAGACGGCUAGCGUUGGAAGUGUAACACUCGUAUUCCUUCGUCCUUUAGCUCGUGUUCAUGGCUGUCAAAAGAGGCGCACUAUGUCACUCCUUCUCGCGCGUGUUGUUGACCUACGAAACUCAAAUAUCCCUGUGAGCUGAACCAACUCGAAAUCUUAAACAUGGGGGCGGAGCAUAAGCACACACAUUUUACAUGAUUUUAAGGUUUUAUUGACUAACAUGCGAUGCUCGACAUGCGUAAAGUACAUGUUUCAGAGGAGGGAGAUGCAACAGACUGUCACCACUAAGCACAUGCAGAUACUUGGCGACGGCCCGUCCUAAAAUUUCUGCCAGCGAUUUUUAAAUUUUCGUCACCGAUGCACCGCCAACUCGUUCGAAGGGUGUCUCUGUUGGAAUAAAUACGCACAGGGUUUCCAGCCCGAUACCGCACUCGGGGCCACAUGGAUAUCCGCCAGCUUCGAACAUCAGUUAUGUAAUAGUGUCACCAAAAUUAGAAGCUCAUUUGUAUAGUCUAUAAAGUUUAUACAGUGAGAGUGAGGUUUUUGUGAAAGAUCGAUUUGAGUCUAUCAGGUCAUUUGAGAUCAUGUAUAAAUUCAACACACAUGAUACUAGAGCACAAUUUAGAGUCAUUUACAAGAGUCAAGUUUAUUUAGUAGAGAGCAGAAUAUAAAUAUUAUAUCAAGUAAUUUACUUGUUAAAAGAAUGCAAUAGAAACAAUCAUCUACAAUGUGGAAAGGCCAACUAGCUGAUUGAUAAAGAUAACUUUUAUUUCUUGAGUUUGAAGAUGAAAAACGUUUUUACAAGCAAUUUUUUUUGUGGGAGCUUACUACAAUAAAGCUAAUACUUGCAUCAUAUCCAUAUACAUACAAUGGGUGCACAUUGGCAGAGAAUCAGUUUUUCCAUAUAAAAGAAAAAAGUAAUGAAGAUUCUAACUUUUGCUAUGAAAGACUACCUUAUAGAUUUGAUAACUAAAUACAAGAAUCCAACAAACACUUUGAGAACAUUAAAGGAUGAAUAUGAGAGCAAAGAUCCUACUAUGGUCUUAAACUUCAAUUAUAAACUUUCAACAUUGAAGUUUCAAAACUUUACUUCAAUAAAAGAGCCCUUGAGGAUGGCUCACAAAAUUAAAAAUCAAUUGGCUAUACGUGGUGAAAUUGUUCUUGCCAAAAUCCUUGUAUAAACAAUUUUCAAUAGAUUAACUUCUUCUUUGGACAGUCUAAUAUACAGCCUCAUAGCCACUGAUCAACUUUUUAGCUUUGAAAAAUUAUUAUUUAGAUUGAUAGUUGAGACACACAAACUAUAACUUAAAGCAAAUACUAAGAAUGAAUCCUUAACAAUAUAAGUAUUUGGAACUUAAGAAAUAUAAGAGAUAGAAGGAGGUAUUCAUCUUGUAGAAAUAAGUGUCAUUUUUUUGAGAGGCUGAGAUAUUGUUAGAGCUCUUCAUGCUAAUAGAAACAUAUGCCUAAUGUAUUGCUACUUUUGUGAUAAAACAAACUACAUGGCAAAGAAUUGCAAAUUCAAGAAGUUGCUGCCAAACCUCAAUAAGCCAAUAACAAGCAUCAUAGAGGCUCAUGAUGAUUCUUCCAACUAUGAUUACGACAAUUCUAAUAUACAAAAGUCAAAGAUUAAUCUUAUUAAUAUUAAUACAAUAAGAAAUAAGAAUUGCAAUUAGUAUAUUGAGAUUGGAUCUUUUCAAUAUGUGAUAAGUAAUAGACUAGAAUUACACUUGUUCAAACCUAUAAGUUACUUUUAUAGAUUUAAAGUAGCAAGUAGUGAAUUAUGUUCUACUUUUAGGUAAGAAGAGAUCCAUAUUAAAAUUAAUAAUAGGGACUCUAAGAAAGUAAAUAAUGCUCAAUUUGUAUCUUCUUUGAAGAAAAGCUUGUUAUUAAUGGACUUCCUUGCAAAUGAAGGAAACUUGGUGAUCUUCUUGAUAGAUAAGUGAUAGAUAAUUGAUCAAAAAAAGAAGUGCAAUGUGAUCACCACCACGCCAUGCAAAUCUAUGAAUAGACUUUAUUGUAUAAAUUAAUCAUUUGCUAAAGUUAACACAUUUGUGGUAGAGCACACUAAGCUAUGGAAUAGUUGACUUAGACAUCUCAACUAUUUUAGCGUAAGACAAUUCUAUAUGAAUCAAAGACAUCUAGUUAGAGCAACAUCUAAAAAAGUUUGUAAAGCAUAUUAUGCGCACCAUGUGAGUCAUUGAAUAUUUAGUAUAAAAUAUAUACUUAUGGUGCUUAAAAUCAUAGAUUUUGUGAGUUGGUAGUAGAAUUUUUAGGAGAAAUAGAAAAUAGAUUGCUAAUAGCGGAUAUGCAGUUUAAAAUAGAAUUCAUUUAGCCAAAUUUCUAUGUUAGAGAUGUUUUUUGUAUCUAACAUUAGACGAUGGUUCAAUGGGAGUAGCAUUCAUUGUCAAAAAGAAAAAAGAAAAUUAUAUUUUAUUAAUAAUUCUUAAAAGUUAUAUAUAUAUAUAUAUAUAUAAUAAUAAUAAUAAUAAUAAAAAUAAAAAGAUCAAAACAGUAGAAAAAAAUAGAGAAUAGAAGAGAAGAAGAAGGAAAAGAAGAGGAAGAAAGCAAGAUAGAAGAAAAGAAAAAAGAAAAACAGAAAAAAAAAAUAUAUAUAUAUAUAUAUAGAAAGAAAUGAAAGGUGAUCGACGAAAAGGUGAGAGGCUGCCCCUGAAUGGCGGCAGCGUCUUCAGCGAUAGGGGUCCGGGCCGCCCCGGAUCCCCCUCUCUUCCGUUUUUGUUUUUUUUGUUUUUUUUUUAAUCUUGCCAAGUGCUCUGGGCCCGGGCGGCAACGGAAUCCCUCUUGGAAGUUUUUUUCUUUCUACGUCAAUGUGAGCAGUUGCAGUGGUGCUGAGAGAAAGACGUCGUCGUCCAUUCUGAUCGGCGGCUAGGUGUUGAGGACCGCAGCAUCUUCCGAAGCGGUGCAGCGAUUGUUUUUUUGUUCCCCAUUUUCGCUGUGGGCUGCGACCUCUUUCUCUCGAAUUUCCGGGCUGGCUGCGGGGGUUCUGGAAUCGGGGUGUCUGCGGCAAAGGCUGCGGUGGUAGCGCGGUUUUUUUUUGUUUUCCGUUUCUUCUUCUUGAUGGGAUCAAAGGUGGCAUUGCCCACUCGUCGACUCUUCUACGGCAAGAAGCAGGAGCUCCGACGGGGUUCUCCGUUCCACCGCGGUGCAGAGCUGUAUUGAAUCUAGUCGCAAGGGUUCAAGUUCUGUUUUGUUGCUAGCGGCUCGAUGAGCUGAGUUGCGGCUCUGCUGUGGUAGGGUGGAGUUACAGCGUCCUCGUUGCAGAUCUCGACAUCACUGGGGAAUCUCAUUUUAAUCCUCUCGUUUUCUUUGUCUCCUCUUGUUGUUGCCGGAAGCUCCGUGAUCUCCGGCUUGGUGUGGCUAGAAUUGCUAUGCCCAUUCUCUCUCUCUUUCUCGUGUUGUUGUUGUUGUUGUUGUUGUUGUUUUGUUUUUUUUUUUCCUUCUCUGGCUGAUUGGGCAGUUUUUAUUUUUCUUUCCUCUUUGAAAUUCGAUGUUACAGCUAGAGGCUCGAUGAGCUGAGAGUGUUGUGGCAUGGUGUAAAGGUCUGAAAAGUCAGACCGACCCUUACGUUGGCGAAGAUGAAGUGUGUGUGAAGUGUGUACCGAGAGCUAUCCAAUGCCUAAGGGUUGUUUGAGGCGAGGUGGCAAAGGAGAGGUUGGUAGGGCCACCUCCCUUGACCCUAGGUAACCUUCAUGCAGGGGCGUGAAGGGGGUCGUGGGACUUUUAAGUACCUUGGUCCUGGAUGCUCAAGUGGCACAUAAGAUCCUACCUUUUGUCACUUGAGUGUCGAAGGGAUUGAUUGGUAUUAAGAAGAGAGUGGAGAAAAGAGGGUCUCCUCACGUCCUAUUCUAGGACGUAGUUUUAAAUAAUGAUCUUGAGUUUUGGGGAGAUAUUUUAAAUUGGUGAUGUGUCACUUUAAGAAAGGAUGUUGUGUGGGUUGAUUGUGGUUGUCUUGUUUGAAAAGGUGGUUCAAUGUAGAAGAUGUAGUAGUUGUAGACACUAAUCCUAGUGAAGGCUCAAUGUGGUGUACCUUAAGGGAGCUUGGAAUUGAACGCUCUUUCUCUUCAGCUCAAGGUCAGAUGCAUUGGGUGGACUAAGAAGAGGGAGUGACAAUACUAGUAGGUUUUUGCGAUGAUGUUUGUGUUGUGAAUCUAAUGUUGUUAAGUAAGCAUUUAAGUCAGUGAAGGUUCUCAGUUGGAGUGAUAUUACAUGUGGUAUUAGAGCGUCUGAGACCAAAAUUGGCAAGAAGUAGGUAGAAGAAUUUUUGAUCAUACCAUGGUGAGUAAAGUCAGAGAAGAUGGGAAAGAAGACCAUGAAGACUUCGAUCCAGCGGAUGGAAGACAAAGAAGUUCUCAAUAGCAAUUUGCAAUCGAUGCAAGGAAGUCAAGAGUUUAGACCAAAAAGAAGAGUAGUCAAGAAGAAGUCCAUGUUUGAAGAAGAAACACCUAAUUCCUUAAAAGAAGAAAUUAAGAAAUUUAAGUGGAGUUGAAAGAGAUUGUAGAAGGACUUGCAAUUGAAAUAGAAUCUUCAAAUUUUCUUAGUGAAGAAGAGGAGAGUGAUCAAGAAGAGAGGAACCUCAAAUCAGGAACAAGAAGUUUCAAAAAGACUUCAUUAUUUGUUACCUCAAUGGAGUAGAUGUAGUGCUAGGAAAUAUGUUUUUGAGAUAAUAUGGAGUGGAGCUUCAAUAGAAAUCCGAAACGUGAGUAGUAAUGAUAAGAAUUGAAGGAAGGAUUAUAGACUUACCCUUCAGAAACCACCCAACAUUGUAUGAGUUGAAGAUCGCUAUUGUCACUCAAUGUGAGCUAAAAAGAGAAUAGUUUCUCAUGCACUUAAAAAGCGACAAUUUUGGCCUCGAAAUUAUAAAUGACAAAUUCAAUAAUAAAAUAGAGUGGAGAAGAACCACUCUUUGUUCUCUUAAACUUGUAGAAGAGUUAAUGUUGAAAUUUGGUGAUAUAUUGAUGACAAAAUUGCCAAAGGAAUUAUCACCUAAUAGAAUAAUAGACCACAAAAUUGAAUUAAUUCUUAGAUCACAAUCCCUAAGCAAUGCACCUUAUUGAUUGAACCAACUUGAGCUAAAAGAACUCAAGCAACAAUUGAAUGAGUUACUGGAAAAAGGCUAUAUCAGAGAAAAUAAAUCUCCAUUUGGAACCUCAAUCCUCUUCGUGAGUAAGAAGAAUAGAAAAAUGAAGAUGUAUAUUGAUUAUUAAGCCUUCAAUAAGAUCAUAGUGAAGAAUAAGUAUAAGUUGCCACAAGUUGAUGACUUGUUGGAUAGACUGAGGGAAAGUAAAUGGUUUAACAAGAUUGAUCUCUAGAGUAGAUACUACCAGUCAAGGAUUGCUCAAGAAGAUGUUGAGAAAACAACAUGUAGAACCAGAUAUGAUUCUUAUGAAUUUGUCGUAAUGCCUUUUGGAUUGUGUAAUGCUCUAACAACCUUUAUUACAUUAAUGAACUCCAUUUUUCAUAAAGAAAGUGAUGAAUUUGUGGUUGUAUAUAUUGAUAACAUUCUGGUGUUUUCUAAAAGAAAAGUACAUCACAAGAAGCACUUAUGAAUUGUGUUGAGUAAGUUGCAAGAAAACCAACUGUAUAUCAAUAAGGAGAAGAGCAUCUUUGACCUGGAGGAGUUGGAGUUUUUUAGGCACAUCAUCAAUAACAAAAGAAUAAAGUGAGAUUCAAAGAAAAUCCAAGUCAUCAAAACUUGGGAGAUAUUUAAGACUCAGAAGGGUAUAAGAUCUUUCUUGGAGUUGACAAAUUAUUAUCAAAAGUUCAUAAAGAACAUCUCAAAAAUUGUUGGACCUUUGAUGAGCCUCUUGAAGAAAGAUAACAAGUCCAUAAAAUAGAACUUGAGCUGUGAAAAGCCCCUCCAAGAGAUUAAUUUCCAUUUCAAUGUUGUGUUAUGCACAGUUUGAUAAAGAAUUUGAGAUUCACACAAACGUGAGUGACUUUGCUAUUAGUAGAAUCUUCAUGCAAGAAAAAAGAUCCGUGUUGUUUGAGAGUAAGAAAUUAAGCAGAAGCCAAUUGAGAUGACCAAUGCAUGAAAAAAGUCUGUUUGCGAUGGUGCAUUGCUUGAAGACUUGGAGGCACUACCUCGGUGGUAGAAAGACCAAGGUCUAUAUUGACAACAUCUCUCUUAAGUACUUUACUUCAAAGGCAUAGGCAUCUCCAUAGGAAUUGAGAUGAUAUGACAUGAUUGUUUCAAUUGACAUCAAAUUGAUUCACAAAUCAAAUGAUGAUAACUUGAUGUUAGAUGUGCUAAGUAGAAGAGAAGAGUUCAUGGGAGCAAAUCUCCAUGACACAAUGACGCUUAAUAUAAUUGUCUAUUGUGAUGGCUUUUUCCUCAUCAAAGACAUAAAAGAAGCCUAUAAAUCAUAUAAAGAUACAUUAGAAAUUAAGAAAGCGUUUGCUGCGACCAAAUCUACAAGUUAAUAGAAGAGACUUACAAGAGUUUCUUUGAUAAGGAAUGGACUUAUUUAGUUUAAGCAGAUGCAACUCUACAUUUCUAAGAGCAAGUAGAUAAGGAAGGUGAUGUUUGAAAUACAUGAUGCUCCAUGCUUGGGACAUAUGGGUGUGAAGGCCACAACAAAGGAUGUGGCACGAUCUUAUUAUUGACAUUCUUUAAAAAAAGACAUGGAGUAAUACAUAAGAAGCUGUUUGGUGUAUCAAAGAAAUAAACACUCAACGCAAGCUAAGGUAGGUCUCUUGGAACCAUUACCACUUUCGUCUUUAUUAUAUACAGAUAUAUCAAUGAAUUUCAUAAUAGGUUUAUCCAAGUAUGGUGAAUCCAAUACUAUUUUAAUCAUAGUUGAUAGUUCAACAAGACGACAAGGUUUACAACAAUAAUAAUAUUUUUAAAAGUUUCCAAAAAAGAGUUAGAAAUUGUAUUACAAUUGACGGUGGAUCUCUUCUUCAAUUCAUGGAUUUUGCUAUAUGGCAUGCCAACAUCAAUCGUAAGCGAUAGAUAUAUCCACUUUAUGAUACAAUUUUGGAAAUACGUUGUCGUGUUGUAACACGAGUAUACAGUGAAAAUAAAAAGAAAGGGGAAUUUUAUUAAUAUUCAGUUACCUCGAAUAUUGGGAGCAUCGACCAAUUCCAGUACAAAUACUGAGUGGUCAAGUUCAGUGACUCCGUUACAGUCAGCCGGGGCAUACUGGAAUGCCCCGUUCGAUUCCAAUAACGGAAGUCAGUAGGAAGAGAAGGACCAAUUCACACGACGGAUUCGAGGAGCCAAUUGGAUCCAAUUUCGAGAAUCCAAUCUGGGUCCUCUUACCCAAUAUGAGACCUGUAUUGGUGGGGCAACCCAAUGCAGUCUAGUUACGGGAAAUCCAAGUCUUACUACGGGUCUUAGCCAAUCUGACGCGAAGACCAAUUUGACCCAAUUACGGAAACAUCCAGGUUACUACGGGCAUCUUUCCCAAUAUAGGACCUGAAUUGGUCGGGCGACUCAAUGUGGUCCCGAUUACGGGGUUCGAUUCUGUUUCAAGCUGUCCUGUUCUCUGUGCCGUCUCAGGGAACGUUGUUUUCGGUAAAUGGAUUUCUUAAAGGUAAAAACGGAGGAGAAAGCUUGAGGUGGGAGCCAAUUCCGGAUCUAAGACGGAAGAUUGAAGAAAUUCAGAGGAUAAGGUUAGGGGGGAUAUAGUUUUGGAGUGGUGUGGGUUUUUAUGGGGGGAUGGGAGGUUUUUUGAGAUCAAGGGAAUUAGAGAGAGGAGCUUCAUGCUUCGGGUCGGGGAAGGAAAGACAUAGAAUUUGGAUUUUUCUUCUUCGUAGAGUUUUGGGAAGACUGAGGCAAUCGCUGCUGAAGUCAGUGUUGUAAUGGUGAAUCGGGAUUUUUAAAUGAAGUGGGUUUGAAUACUCUUGACUGUUUUGUGAAAUCGAGUUACGUCUGUGAUUGAAGGAUUAAAAGGGUGUCUAUAGGAUUGAGUAUGCGGAGUGAAUGAAAUUUACUGGGUUAAUCUAACAAGACAGUCAGUGGAUACGAGAUCGUAAGUACAAAGCAGUAUUGAAGGUUAACAGUUUGGGUUGUACGGGGUUCUCUGUAACGUCAAGAGACCUACCGACUGGGGCAAAAAGGACUUCGACAAGCAGUCGAAGAGCACCCGUAUAGAUUUACGGUACAUUGUUGCAGUCGUUUAUAUUCCAGCAGUCAAAAACUGAUAGACUGCUUGACUAUCGGCGAAUCUUCAUACUACCUUCUACAGCCAGACGCCCGGCGCGUUCUCGAGCAGGAAAGCACGUAAUACGACAUAAGUGGUGAAUCCGACGUGAAAGCUUGAGGUAGAAGGUAUUGGAUUCCACAAGGAGAUGGCCAAAUAGAGAGGAUCAAUGGAAUUUGUUCAAUGUACCUAAGACAUUUUGUGGCAAGCGAUUAUAAGAAUUGGAUCAAGUAGCUACUUAUAGCCAAGUUUAAUUAUAAUAUUAGCCAAAAUGAAUUUUUAGAUAAUUGUCACGGCCAUAAUCAUGUAAGCUAAUAAUUACAUAUAGAAAUAAGUAGAAGUAAGUAAAAGUAGAUAAAAGUAAGUUAAUUCUAUAAUAUUUAAUAUAGAAGCUUCCUAAAAACUUCUUAGACACUGCUUUGACUUCAUAGGUGUCUUUAAUUGACUUUUUGGAUUAGAAACGUGGUCAACAAGUUGGCCAUGUGCCACACAUGUUGUUAGCUUGAAGAUCAAGCUAACUAUGUAGCCCACACGUAGAAAAACUUGCCUUGUAAGUCAAGGCAUGUGCCCUACAAAGUCAAUACAUAUUAGAGGUCCUAUAGAACAUUGCCACGUAGCCCCUAGUUAGAUAGUAUAUAUAGAGACAAGAGUGAAGGCUUCUUCACUCUUGUCAACUCCUUUCUUGCUUCUAGUCUAGUUUCAAGGGUCUCUAGUUUUCUUGUCUUUUGGCAAUAGCCAUUCCAGUUUCUCUUUCAAUAUAUAUACUUAUUUAUUUAUAUUUUGUUACCUCUCUUUGAGUGAAGGCUCACUUGUCUGAAUUAUUUUUCAUCGAGUUCUUGUCCUUGACAGUAAUACACCAUUCCAAAUGGCUCAUGAUUUUGAUGUGCUUAGGUCAAUUGAUUUGAUUAAAGUCAGACAAAGUGACAAGCUUACUUUAAAUGAAGUAGAUGGCGUAAAGGAAAGCCAUUACAAGUACCAUGAGAGUGAGACUAGAGGCAGCCCAAAGUUGAUAUAAGAAGUAAGUUGAUAAACAUAAGAGAGAUGUGCAAUACAAAAAGGAAGAUAAAGUGUGGUUGAAUAUGAAUAACUUUACUUGCCCUAUACACCUCACUCCCAAGUAGACUCAAAAAUAGGCAAGGCUCUAUGUAAUUGAGUGAAUAUUGUACAAAAAUAUCUAUAUGCUAGACGUUCCAAAAAGAUUGAAGUGGCAUCUAGUUUUUUAUGUAAGUAUUUUUAAAAGGUUUGUAGAUGAUGAAAAAAGAUUUUACAAAGAAAAGGCGCAAGUUCCACCUUAGGAGGAGGUAUGAGAUGAAACCAUGGGUCAAGUAUUAGCCAUACUUGAUAAGAAAUGAAAUAAUGUCAAGGGAGUGCAAUAUUUAUGCACCAUUAAAGGUUACCCACCAUACAAAUUUCAAAGGAUUAAUGAACAUAAUCUGAGACAUGUGUAGUGCUUAGUAACCACUUUCAAUAAGAGAGUAGGUGAGUAUAGAAAAGGGAGAUCCAUGCAAAAGUAGUUGAAGAACUAAAGACUUCAAUUAACAAUAAGAAGUGUUCUACAGCAAACUUGAAGAUGAUGAUAUCUUUGCUCCAAAUGGGAGGAAGAGGGUCACAUAAGAAAUCCUACAUAAUACAAAAAAAGGGGAUUGUAAAAAGAAGCUAUAGAAAAUUUGAGCAUCUAUUGUAUUGGGCAAAGUAAUGGAGUGGAGAGGCUUCAAAGCUUGGAAUAGAUCUAAUGGCAAUAGCGUCGCAAAUGGAGAUAUAAGUUUUUCAAAAGUAUGAGGAGCAUUGAAAAGAUUUCAGCCCAAGGUGACUCCAUAGAAGGCAACCUUAAAGCGUUUGUAUUAGGCGGAUAUAAGACCUUGAGCGACCAGGCCUAAACGAUCAUCUUUUCUUAAUGGAUUUCUCGUUGAGUGAUCGCAAAUCACCUCCAUAAGUUAGAGAAGAGUAGUGAAGCAAGAUAGAUCUCAAUUAAGAGAUUUAGCUGCUGAGAUAAGUCUCAUGGCAGCACAAGCUGUUAUAACUUGCAAUCAAAGAUGUGGGUUUUCAAAGUUGCUUAUUAAAGAUAACUAGUGAAAAGUUGGAGGCAAAAUAUACAAGAACGUAAGAAGGAGGUAGUGUCCCAUGUCAUUAUUUAUAUUGUGAUUAUUCCAAGGUUUCAAGGAUGAAACAAGGGCUAAGUAAGAAAGAGAGUCCUUAUGCUGUCUGAGAUGAAGAGUGCCAAUUGUGCUAAGUACACUCAAAGAGUAUACAAGAACAAGUUCCACUCUUUAAAGAAAGAUGCCUUCGAGAAGGUAGCGACUAUAUCAAUGAAGAUAUUGACCUCCUUAUAGUGAAGGAGAGUAUAAGGAUCUGAAAAGUCAGAUCAUUGUAUUGGCGAAGACAAAGUGUGAACCAAGAACUAUCCAAUAUCCAAAGAUUGCUCGAGGUGAGGUGACAAAGGAGACGUUGAGAGGGCCACCUCCCUCAAACCAAGGGAACCUUCAUGUGGGGGUAUGAAGGAAAUCGUAGAACCUUUAAGUACCUUAGAACUUGGGUACCCAAGUGGCACACUAGACUCUAUCUUAGGUCACUUGAGUGUCGAAGUGACUGGUUAGUCUUAGGAAGAGGGGAGGAUCUCCUCAAGCCACCUUAGGACGUAGCUCCAGAUGAUGAUCCCAAGUUUAGGGGAGAUGUUCUAUGCUGGCGGCACGUCGCUUCAAGGGAGGACGUGACAUGGGCUGAUUGAGGUCGUCUUGUCUGAGAAGGUGGCUCGAUGCAGAAGAUGUCGUAGUGGCUGCAGAUACUGAUCCUAGUGAGGGCUCAGUGUGUCGCUUAAUAAGGGAGCUUGGAGCUGAAUACUCAUUCUCUUUAGCUGAGGACCAGAUGGACUGGGUGGAUUGCGGAGAAAGAGCGAAAGUGUUAGUAGGUUUCAGCAAUGCUGUUUGUGUUGUGAAUCUAACGUUGUUUGGUGGAGCAUUCAGGUGAGUGAAGAUUCAAUGACCCUUGGAAUUGCAGGCUGCCAUGUUAGCUUUCUCUUUUUUUUUUUUUUUUUUUUUUUUUCCUUAAUUGCUUUGGCCAGUCGAUGUGAGGUGGCGGAAAUUGGUUGUCAUUAUUGUUGUUGCUAAUUUGCAUGUUAGCAGUAGCGAUGUUCGUGUCAUUAAGAUCCUUCCUUGACUUGGUUGGUGUUGCUGGAGCGAUGCUCGUGACACUGUCUGGGCUACGCUGCAUCAAAUGGAUUGCAGGUACUGCGGUGUCUUCUGCAGAAUUUCCUUGUUUGUCCACAACAGAGAUUUUCGUACUAGUUUGGUGUUUUGAAGGUGUGUUCUAGCAGCGCAAUCGGCAAAUUAUAGUUCAUCUUUAGCAUCAACGUGCUGCUGCUACAAUUGUUGACAAUUUCAACGAGUAAAGAGUGUAUUCUUUGGCUAGUGGUUAAGAGGCGAAAGAAUCGUCGAGAUGCAGCGGAUUAUUAAUGAGCUGGAUAUGCUACUUUUCCACUGAGAUCUUCCUUUAUUGCUUGUGGUAUUGGGUCAUCAAAGCACUGGAGUCGACAGAGUGGCAUUACGAUGUUGGGGUGCAGCGUUGACGCUGAUAAUGUAGACUAGUAUUGCGGCCUUGCGGUAGUACGGCAGUUCCUCUUCCUGUUCUUGUGGGCUAUAGUAGGAAUUAGCAGUUUUGACUUUAUUUUUUGCGCAUAUGAAUGGUUGAAAAGCGUUGUGGUGUAGAGCUAUUAGCGGUGUCGUCAAUGAUCUAGGCUGAGUUUACUUGGAACAAUUUCGGCUGCUGCGAUUAUAUUUUAUUGCACCUAGGCAAUCAAACAAGGGUGGCUGAGCGCAGCAGACUAGAGGAAGUCGACUCAUAGCAAGUUGACCAGCGCAAUAUCCUCUAGCUCAAUGAGUACUCGAGGACGAUCGAUACUGAUUAAGGUAGAUUUGGUUGCAAGUAGUUAAGGUUAUAGAGCAACAACUUGGAUGAAUGUUUAAAUCAAGGAUGAUUUUUAAAACAUGGAUGAAUCUUAAUUGUGGAUGAUGAGUUAUUUAUGAAUGAAAAGUUAGUCAAGGAUGAAUUUUCAUUCAUAGAUGAUUUUUAUUAAUGCAUGAACUUUGAUUAAAAUUAAAUAAAAUAAUGAUAAUAAUAGCAUAAUAGUAUAUAAUAAUAAUAAUAAUAAAGAUAAAAAUAAAAUUAAAAAAAAGAUAAAAAGUAAAUUAGAGAAAGGAAAAUUUUAUGGUAUUAAAUUGUUGAAUGAUUUAUUAUUGUGAAUGUGAAAUAAUUGUAGAGUUUUGGCUUGAUUGCUUGGAUUAUUUAAGAAGAAAUAAGAGUGAAUUGAAUAGAAUUUAAUUAAUAAUUAUAACUACCAAAAUUCACAUAUUAAUUCACUUAUUAUGAAUUAGAAUGAACUUCUAAUUAAUAGAGGUUUAUUUUAGCUCAUAGGCUAUUAAUAUAGAAGGAAUUUUCUACAACAAAGUUUCAUCAAGCUAAAUAAGGUGCUACAACUUAUGCAUGCAAAUUUGAUAGAACUAAUCACAAAGCCAUUCCUAAGCAAAAAUAAAUACUUUGUAGUAAUCGCUAAUAAAUACUUUGCAUUAAUCACUAAUAAUUAAUUUUGCUAAAGCUGGCUUUAUUUUUUAAAGUCAAAAGAAGAAAUGUUCUCUAAUUUUUGCACAUUCAAAGCUAUAAUAAAAAGAGAAACAUGCAAAGAAACUACUCAUUCUGAAGACUAACAAGAGUAUUUAGUUCAUAUCAAAAGAAUUUAAAGAAUAUUAUUAGAAACAUGGAAUUAUACAAUAAUUAGUGUAAAUUCUAAUUCCUUAACAAAAACAUAACUGCUAAAAGGCAUAACAAGUCAAUUGUGAAUAAGGCAAGAAAAAUAUUCUAUGAAAGCAAAUUAUUCCUAUAUCUAUGGUCAAAAGUAAUCAAUACUAUAAAUUAUUUGAUAAAUUGAUAUCCAAUCAAUUCUAUUUAUAGAAAAUAUUAAUAAAAAUAUAUAUUAAGAAGAAAUUAAAAAUAAAGUAUCUAAAGAUCUUGAGGUGUGAUACUUAAAGAUGUGCCAAAAGAAAAACAAAAAAAACUUAAUACUAAGACAAUAAAAUGUAUCUUUAUUGGAUAUGCCUCUAAUAGCAAAGCAUAUUAGAUCUAUGAGCAUACAAAGCAAAAGAUACUUAUUAAUAGAAAUAUCAUUUUUUAUAAGUCCAAAAAUGCCAUCAUCAUCUUAAAGAUAGUCAUAAUUAUGAGAAUUUUGAAGAUGUAUGUUUUACUCUAAAAAAAGUUUUAGAAAAAAAUAUACUAUCAAUUCACAAUUGUGAUGGGCAUGAAAAAAAUUGAAGAUUAGCACAUUGAGCCUAAGGAUAUAUAUUUUUUUAUUUUGAUUUCCAAUUAAAGGAAUAAAGCUUCUUUCUUUUGUUGUAUAUUGGCUAAACACACCUAUCAUGUAGUCUCCAAAAACAUCAUUACAUAGAGUCUUUGAUUUACCAAUUCAAGUAUAUCGACUCUUCCUACAAAGAAAAAAUGGAUAAGUAUAAACAACCAUUAAGAAGGCUUCCUAACAAUUAGUUACUUUGUGUAUAUGCAAAAAUAGACCCUAUUGACUACUUUGAAGAUACAAAAGAUAAAUAGAGGAGGGAUGCUAUUAGCUAAGAAAUUCAAAGCAUUAAGAAAAGUCAUACAUAAGAGGUUUGUGAUUUACUUGCUAAAAGAAGGUCCAUCAUUGCUUAAUGGAUCUUCAAGAAGAAGAUUGGAUUAUCAUGUAGAAUCAAAAAAUAUUAGGCUUGACUAAUAGCAUAAAAAUUAAAGCAAUUAAAAGAUGAAGAUUUCUUUGAAACUUUUGCUUUCGUCAUUUGUUGAAAUAUAAUAAGAAUAAUAAUAAAAUUAGUAAUUAUUCAAGAAUGAAAGAUAAUACGAUAUGAUGUUAAAAUAAAAUUUUAAAAAUAAUUCUUAAAUAAUAUAAAUAGAUUCAAACUAAAGCAAAGAAAUAAAAUCAUAGUUCAAUCUCAAAGUUGAGAGAUGAUCUACUUAACCUUUUAAAACAACAACAAUAGUCACAAGAAACUUAAGCCUCAAUAUUAUGAAAAAAAAAAAGUAUAAAUAAAAAAUGAAAAGUCUUCUUAACUCAAGUAAAAGUAAAAAGCCUUCUUGGACAAGAAAGAGUAUUGGAAAAAUAUGCCUAAGAUUUUCAACCAAAUACCAUAUUGUAGGAUUUAUUGAUAUCUACUAGCUUUAAAUAUCAAUUAUAUAAUAAUAUCACUAAAAUUAGAAGGUUAUUUAUUUUUAAAUUUAAUUAUAUAUAUUUUUAAUUAAAUAUUGUAUCACUUAAAUUUAUAUAAGAUCAGUGUGUCAUUCUAAUAAUUAUUAUUACAAGACCUAAAGGAUCAAAUAAUACUUCUAAUUUUUUUAAUAGUAUUUAAAUUAUUUAUUUUUAGACUACAAUAAUAAUCUUAAAUUAAUCAAUUAAUGACAUUAUAAUUGUAACUAAUAAGAAGUUGAUUUUGGUGAAUUUAGUUCAAUACUCUUUUUUGCAGUAGAAUUCAUUUGCUUUAUUUUUGAGAAUAAGUAGUGAUUAUAAUAGAUCAAUGGCAAUAACAUAUUAAAGAGAUGUAUGUUAUAAGAAAUCAUUCAUCAUAAUUCUUUAGAUUUUGUUGUGUUUCUUGAUAAUGUCAUGCUAAUGUUGUUGUAAUAAAAAAAUAUUCUUACUAGAUUUGUGAUUGAUUAUGGUAGCACUACAUAUAAUAUGUACAAUUUAAUAGAAGAUCUCUUUGAAUCUUUGGUAAAGAAUAGAGUUUUGAAAUAAACUCACUUUGAAAUAAUACAAUAUUAAAGAAUAUUUCAUCUGGAUAGAAUUGUUUCUAUUAGGAUAGGAUUUGAGAAAUUUUAUACAAUUUGAGUAGGAAUUUAACCAAGAAUAUAUGAAAUGUGGAGUGAGUGCAAAAUACAAGUAAAUAGAUUUAAAAGAAAUAAAUUUAAAACUUAUAAAGAACAAGAGUCUAUAGUAAGGUAUUUAAGAUAAUAGAUGUAGAUUAUAAUCUUUUAUCAAGGACAUGAAUCUCAGAGAAUUAAAAGAUCAAUACACUCUUAUGUCAAUCAAAAAGACUAGAAAAUUACUCAAAGAUAGUAAUAUAUUGAACUAAAAUGGCUAUUGCCAAAGACAAGAAUAGAAAAUCUUGAAAUAAGACUAAGAUCUAGAAAGGUGUUGACAAGAGUGAAGAAGGCUUUAGUAUUCUUUUCAUAUAUACUAUCUAACUAAAAAUUAUGUAGUGAUAUUCUAUAGAACCUUGAACACAUGUCUAAAUUGUAAUACACAUAUCUUAACUUACAAGGUAAAUUUUUUAUAUGUGCACUACAUAAUUAGCUUGUUUCACAAGAUAUCAACAUGUGUAAUACAUGACUAACUUGUUGAUCAAGUUUCUAACCUACAAACAUGUAUAAAGCCAAAGCUACAUCAAUGAAGUUUCUAGAAAGUUUUUCUAGAAGAUAUUAUAAAAAUAAUCUACUUUUACCUAUUUCUAUGUAAUCAUAUAGAUAAUUAUAGGAGUAAAUAUGUAUAUCUAUAACAUCUAUGUAGAAUUUCGUAUUAGAAGUAUGCAUAUUUUUUCACACAUAUUAUAGUAUGCAAAGGUUUUAGUGGUUUGGCCAAAAUAUCGGCUUCUUGUUCAAAUAUGGGUAUAUACUUGACUAUCAUGUCUCAUGCUAAAUUUUUUAUUAUAAUAAAAUUAAAUUAUACUUUUAUAUGUUUGGUUUGAGAAUACAAUAUUGAAAUAUUUACUAGCUUGAUAUAAUUUUUAUUGUCGCUAAGAUUGAGAAAUAGAUCAGUAUGAUAAAUUUUUAAUUCUUAUAGCAUUUGCCUUAAGUAUAUGGUGUCUUUUGCAAAUUCUAAAAACACUUGAUAUUUGGCUUUGUAUAGUGCUUAAUGCAAUUGUUGUUUGUUUUUUUUGGCCUAUUUAAUUGAAUCUUAUCAAUCUUGAGUAUCAAACUAAAAAUUAAUUGUCUACUGUCUAGAUUUCUUCCAUAAUUGGUAUCUAUAUAGUUCAUUAGGAUGAGUUUGUUUGAAUGCAAAAAAAAUAUGCCAACAUUGGCAGUAUCUUUGAUAUAGUAUAAAAUUCAUUUAAUAGCUAUCAUAUGUCCUUGUGGAUUUUGUGUGUAUCUCUUCAAGGUCCUAAUUGCAAUACUAAUAUUAAAUAUUGAUAUUAUAGAAGCAUAUAGAAAUCUACCUACUAGUGACUAAUAAGUUAACUUAUCAACAGGUGAUUAUUAUAUAUUAGCUUGAAGAUAAUUAUUAGAAUAUAUAAAAAUUUGUGUUAAAUUAUAAUUUAUCAUAUUGAAUUUAUGUAAUAAUUUGCUAAUAUAGAUUUCUUGAUGUAAUCAUAUAUGAGAUAAGUCUUAUUUUAAUUUUUCUUCAACAUAAAUAAUGGCUUUUUUUAGCUUAGUCAUUUCAAAUAUUUACAAUAAUUAAAAAGUUAAACUUUAUAUUUUUAUUAAAUUAUUAUCCAUAUUGAUUAGAUUAUCUAUAUAAAAGAAUAUAAUUAUAUAUUAUCUAUUAUUGAUAGAAUAGUAAAAAUUAUAAUUUGUAAAAUUCUUAGUUUGUUUUUUUUUUUUUUUUUUUUUUUUUUUAUGAAAUAGGAGUCUAUUUGCAAUUAUCAUGCCAGUAGCACUUAUUUGAAUCCAUACAUGUCUCUAAUCAACCUACAUACUUUUUCUUCUUAUAUUGAGGUUUAGAAAUUAAAUGAUAUAUGCAUAUAUAUCUCUUUAUUUAGUAUUCUAUUCAAAAAUAUAGUCUUUACUUUUAAUUAUUGUAUGCUCUAAUUCUUUUGAAUUAUAAGUGUUAGAAUUAAUCUAAUAGUAUUCUAUCUAAUUUCAUUCUAAUAUGGCAUAUAUGUCAAAAUAAUUAAUGUCUUGAAUUUAUUCAAAUUUCUUUGCAAUUAGUCUUUUCUUUAGUUUAUGUAAUUUGCUAUUAAUUCUUUUUUUAACUUUAAAUAUCCACUUUGAUAUAAUAGCUUACUUUUCUUUUAAUAAGUCUACAAUCUUCUAAGUUCUAUUCUUUGUAAUUGAGUCAACUUUAUCUUAUAUAAUUUUUUUCUAUUCCUUGUAUCUAAUAGCUUGUUCAUAGUAUGGAGGUUCAAGUGUAUAUUCUAUUGUAUAUGUCACAUGAUUCUUAAGCUUAAUACUUAAUCUUCUAUUUCUAAUAGGAUAUACAUGAUGUAUGGAUCCAUGUUCAUAUUUUACAUUACAUUUUAUUUCACCAUUUAAGGUAGAAGGUAAUUUAGCUGGUUCUAAUAUAAUUCUUGAAUGCAAAUAUGUUAAGUUGUGUAGAUUAAUAAUGGUCAAGAUUAUUUAUAUUAUUCUCAUUGAUUUCUAUAAUAAAAAAAAUUUUACUUUUUUUUAUGUUGAUUUUUGCAAGAUGUUAAAAAUCCAUUUUGGAUUUAUCACAUACUACAUUUUUGGAUUUUACAAUCUUACAAGUUAAAGGAUUAAAUAUUCUAUAUGAUUUUUUUUAUUAAUUAAAAUCCAUAAAUAUGUAUUUUUUUAUCUUGCUUUUUAAUUUAUCUCUUUACAUCUUUCAUACAUAAGUGAAAGCAAUGCAUUCAAAAAAAAUUAGAAAAUUUAUGUCAAGUUUGAAUUUGUAAUACCUCUCAUAAAGAGUAGCUCUAAGGUUUGCAAUUGUAGGACUUUUGUUUACUUAAAAAUUGGUUGUAUUAAUUGUUUUGUACCAUAGAUGAUUAGAUGAUUUGAAAGAUUGUAGUCAAUAAGCAUAUAUCUCGUUCUUUCAAAGAUUAUUCUAUUAUAACACUCAACAAUAUCAUUUUGCUCUAAGAUGUGAGGCUAAGUCAAUUGUUACUUAAUUCCAUUUAAUUUGUAAUAAAUUUAAAAAUAACACAUCAUAAACUAUUUUCAACAAUUUGUAUAUAAGCUUUCAACUUUAUGUCUAAUUUUUGUUUCUACAAACUUCUUUAAAAGUUUAAAUUUGUAUAACAUUUUUGAUUUGCAUACACAAAGAAUGUUCAUGAUUUCUUCAAGAAAUUAUCAAUGAAUAUUACACAAUAUUGAAAGCCAUAGAGUAAAAGGGAUGUCAUUAAAUCAAUCAAAUCAGUAUAUAAUAAUAAUAAAAAAAAAUUAUAGUUUUGGUAACUAAUCUUUUGAAAAAGUACUUAUGAUGUUUUUUUCUAACUAAUUAAUAUUUUUAUCAAAACAAGACCACUCUAUCUUGAGAGUCUAAGAUUCUUUUAAUCUAUAGAAAUAUAAAACCUUAUGUCAAAGUAAGAUAAAAUAGACUAGAACAAAAUCAAAGAGAACUAAACAGAAUAAGAUACGAAAGGCAAAAUUGAAUAAAUGAAAAUAAAACAUAAUAGAAUCGAACAAGAAGAUGCAAAAUCAAACUUUAUUAAGACAGAAGGUCUAAAGCCAUACCUGACCAACUGCCGAAAAGGCCCUGGCUAGUCCUAUUUAUACCUUGUUCUACCACCUUAGACUUUUUAGAAUGUUCUUAGAUGAUGGACCUCACAUAGAUAACCGCCUUAAAUUCUUUCUAAAAGAUUCCAUAGUGGGCUCUAUUUAGAUAACCAUCCUAAACUUUUUUAGAAUGUUCUAUGAUAGAUUCUACAUAGUUCACUAAUCUAACCCCAAUUUUAAAAACUUCCAUAACUUCUCAAACAUGGUUUCAACUAUCUAUCCCUAUGUGUCAACAAUACAAAUAUCUUAUCUAUACCAUGUUAUAGUUAAUUCUCCUCCAUCAAUGUAAAACAUCUUGUUUUACUCUCAAUAGUAUCUUCAAAUUGUUUCUUGGCAAUGGAUGAGAUUCUAAGCAGAUUUCUAUGUUGCAUUGUAGAUGGAAUAAUCUUUCUAAAGAAUUUUGUACUGUAGUUGUGGAUGUCCACUACUAUAGCAAAGGUAGCAAUGCUCCAAAAUGUUGUCUAUUUCAUACUCUUAUUGGUCAUCAACUACAACUAGUAGUGGUGGUGGUUGAUAUUGAUCCAAAAAGUGCUUUGGCUUGGUAUGAAAUUCCUUGAUUUAGAAAAUAUAGAAGACAUGAUGGAUCCAAAUAUGUGACGGAACCUCAAGACAAUAUACAAUAUUAAAAAUUACUAUAGAAAUACAAAAAGAUCGAAGCCAUCGAGGUGCCAGUUUAUGGAUUUGAAUUGAUGUAGUAAGUGGCAAGUUGGUGUUGAAAAAUAAUACUUGAUCAUCCUUUCAAAAGGUCUUGUAUUGCUAGUGGAGAUCCGCAUAUUGCUUCUAUCAAUCUUGUAUGGUAAAGAAGCAGUAUCAUGCUUCCUAUAAGGCUGUUGUAAGCUAUUAUAUAAAUUCUUUUGUUGUUGGAUUAUUGAUAUUUUUGGAAUAAUGGAGAGUUAUUGGCAUAAUUGGAUGUUGAUCAAUUUUAAGAAAAAAAUGGUGAAUGAUUGGUACUUACUUGAAUACUAUCAUUAUAAGCAAACUGUAAAGACAUCAAAUAUUUAUUCCAGUCAUUAUAAUAAACUAUUACAAAUCCUUCAGCAUAUCUUCCAAGAUCUGAUUUACAUGUUCUAUUUUUUUAUUUAUUUGGAGAUAGAAGGUCGUAGACAUGACAAGUUGUAUGCCUAGUAGCUUGAACAAAGCUUGCCAAAAACUUUUCAUAAAGCAUAGAUCCGAAUCUAAAAUGAUGACACGAGAUAAUCCAUAGUGACGAAACAUAACAUCAAAGAAGAUCCAUAUAAGUACUAACGCAUCAAGAUCUGAGUGCACCGCAACCAAGUGAAGUUGCUUUAAGAUUUGGUCGACAAAGACGGCAAUUGUAAUAUAAUAAUGAGGCAUUUGCAAUAAAUACGUAAUGAGAUUCAUAGUCACUUACUCCCAACAUGUCGUUGAUAGUAGAAUUGGUUGCAAUAGUCUAGAAGACACUACAUUGCAUGAUUUAUUAUGUUGACAUGAGUUGUAGGAGUGCACAAAAGUUUGAUCAUCAUAAUCCAAACUUGCCCAAAAUCAUGUUAUUGAAAUUUUUUCUAGAGUCUUCUCUUGCCCUAGAUGUCCAAAUCUUGGGAUGUCAUGUCCCUUUGGAAGUAUACACAUCCAGAGUAUAGCAAUAUUAGGUACAUAUAUCUGCUUUUUGAAAUAGAACAAGCCAUUACUAAGACUAUAACUUGAUAUUAUAUAUCAUCCACCUUUAGUCAAUUGCUAACUAUCUUGAAAUAAGCAUUCCAAUACAUAGCUUUCUUCCAUUCUAUCUCUUCGGUUAGAUUUGAAAUGACACUAUUAAUGGCAAUGACUUUUAUCUUAUCUUUCGAUUUGUCCUUCAAGUUUGGUCUCCACUAUAAGUUAUUUGGCACAAUAUCUUAUUGUCCUUACUUGUACACAAGCUGGAUAUUAAAAAUCUACAAUUAUUCUUUCCAACAAUGAUGUCAUGAUUUUAUAUUUUUUAGAUGCAAAUCGUAUAGGAAGGGCCGAUGGUCAGUUUGAACAACCAUUGGCUAUCCUAACAGAUAGUAUUGCCACACUUUUGUGGUAUAUAUAAUUACUAAUUAUUGUCAAUGACAUGCAAAGUAAUUAUGCCUUGCCCUUCUGAGCUUGCAUAAUUCAUACGCCACAUGUUAAAGGCUCCUACUAAAGUUUUGUUGAAGAACCACUCUAAUAGCAAAGUUGGAAGCAUCAAUGUUAAGUAUACAUAGAAGGUUGGAAUCAUAUGGUUGUAAUAUUGAAGUAGUAAUAGUGCUUCCUUCAACCUAUCAAAGGCGCUUUACUACUCUAGUUUUCAUUCAAAUGAGGCAUCCUUUUCUAAUAGGUUUAUUAAUGAAAUAGCAAUAUGAGCGAAUUGCCAAACAAAACAACAAUAAUAUCUAGUAAGACAUAAAAAUGAAUAGACUUCAGAAGCAUCCUUGGAGGUUGGUCAAUCUUUUACUGCUUUCAUCUUAUCUUGCUCCAUAUGUAUACCUUCGGAAGACACCACAUGCCCCAAAAAUGUGACUUUUGACUUCCAAAGUUCUUAUUUUGAUUGAUUGCAAUAGAAGUAACUAUCUUAUAGUUGACACAACAUUUUUUGUAGAUGUUGCUUGUGCUUCUCAAGGAUUUUAUUAUAAAUGAAAAAAUAUCAUCAAUAAAAAUGACUACAUAUUUUUUUAAAAGGUCCCAAAAUAAUCUCUAUAUGUGAAUUAUGAAAGAGAUUGGAGUAUUGGUGAGGCCAAAAGAUAAAACAAGUCAUUUGAAAUGUUCAUAGCACUUACAAAAUACUAUCUUUUCUAUAUUAUCUUUUGCAAUAGGUACUUGUCAAUAGCCACUUUGAAGUUCUAAUUUUCUAAAAGUAAUUAUACGUCAAAGUUGAUUAAGAAGUUCAUCAAUAUAUAAAAGUGGAUAUGCAUUCUUAACAGUCUGCUUAUUAAGGCCUCAAUAGUUGAUGCAAAGCCAAAGUCCACCAUCCUUUUUAGAUACAAAGAAUAUAGGUGUUUUUCAUAAUGAUGUACUUUCUUGAAUGAAGCCCUUCUCCAAGAGUUUGUCCAAUGUCUUUUACAAUUUUUCAAGUUUAUUUGGUGCUAGGGAAUAAAUUGAUCAACUUACUUAUUUGGUUCCAACCAAUAGUUCUAUUUGAAAAUGGGUACUUCAAUCUAGAGGCACACUACUAGAUAGGUCAAUUGGAAAGACAUUCUAAUAUUCUCGUAUGAGUUGUUCUCCUUAUUCUGCUCCUUUGACUAUCUUUCCUACUACUAAUAGAAGAUUUGGAACCACCAUAUGUAUCAAAUGCUUAUGUUGUAUUUGCUUCUUGAUAAAGAUCAUUCCUAUAAGUAAAUCUUUAGUGAUAGAUUAUUUUUUCUCUUCACUCAAUGCAAAGGUACAAAAAGUCACCUUGGAUCUACUAUCUUUGAACAAGAUUAUCAUUCCUACUCAAUCAACUUAAUUAUUUUCUACCUUUAGCCAUGGCAUACCAAGGAUAACAUCAUAUCUUAGCUUUAUAAUCUUGAACAUCUCUAUGAAGACAUAGGUGUCAAAUAACUUGAAGGUUUCUUCUUUAUAUGGCUCAUUCAAUAUAUUCUCUUAGUUAUCUACAAGGUAUAUACUCCUUCUCUUCAUUGUCUUAGUUUAAUUCCAAAUUGAUUAAAAAUUUUAAUUAAGAUUUAAUUUUUUAGAGCCAUAAUCUACAAGCACUCAAUAUGGUUGUCCUCUUAGUAGUUCCAUUAAAUGCACUAGUUGACUCUUUUUAUUGUUGUCCAAGGCCAUGCCUUUUUUUUUUUAGAGACAAUAGCUACCUCUAGUAUUGGCUCUUGGUGCCUUUACUAUGGAGCUUUAUUUCCCUGUUUUAUCUUAUUAUCGACUUGGUGAGUCUCAAGACUGUGAACCUGCCUUAUUUUAUUGGUGCUUGAAUUUUAAUGUUUUGAAUAACCUCUUAUCUAAUAGUCUAGCUCUUGACAAUAGAAAUACAUUCUCUUUUGUACCAAUAUUUUUCGUCUUUGUGGUGUCAAUGAUCUUUAUAGGACAUCAAUCUCCAUUAGUCUUGGUUGUUGUACCAUAAUAUUAGAUGGCAGCAUAAGACUUUAUACUAUAAAUCUUGCUCAAUAAUUUUUAAAUUCUGUAGCAUCAACAUUAUUUGCAAUCCCAAUUGCCUCUUUAAAUAUUUGUGAAUCUAUUAGCUCUACCUCUCACUGAAUCUUAGGUUUCAAACCUCGUAGAAAUCAAUCCAAUAUCUCUACCUUUGAAAUAUUGCCAAUUUGGAGACAUAGAGACUUAAAUCAGGAUAUAUAAUCUUGUACCGACUUAAAUUAUGUAAGAUUUUUUAAAUGAUUGUAUGUUAUAUUUUUUUGUUUUGAUGGGCCAAAAUUAAUUCCUAAACUCACUCUCAAAUUCUUUUCAAUCACAAAAUCCACCUUGAGCUCCAUAGCUUUAAAUUCGAUGUCACCACCAAAUGACUACUAUAUCUUUCAAAUAACUGACUCCAUACAUAAUUCCUUCAAUGGUAUUUGCUCCAGAUAGUUGGAGGUAUUAUUGCAUGUUGAAGAGCCAUUGACAUACAUCUUCUUGUCUUGAAGUCCUAGAGUAUGUAUUAAGCUUACUUAAUUUGAGCCUAGCAGAUAUUGAUUCCCUUAUCUUAGAGGCUUUUAUUUACCCUUCCAAAGUAGUUUCUCGCCUAUGAGGUGUUGUAUUUGAGCCUCGAUCUAGGAUUACUCCACCAUAUCUCUCACGCUAUAAUUUCCUUAUUAGACUCUAUUAUUGUAAUAUCUUAUCACCUUCCAAUUGACUUUUUAAGAGUAGCUCAUAGUAGCUUCAAUACAAUAUCCAAUAAGAUCUCAAUAAUUAAUCCUGAACUAAAUGAUGGCUAUCAAUAUACUACCAAAGAAUAGUCUAGCACUCACUUUGAUACUAAUGAAACAAGACAAGUCUAUUCCAAGAGUCUAAGAUUCUUUUAAUCCUUAGCAACAUAAAACCUCAUGACAAAGUAAGAUAAAAUGGACUAGUACAAAACUGAAGAGAACUAAAUAGAAUAAGACACGAAAGACAAAACUGAACAAAUGAAAAUAGAACAUAAUAAAACUGAAUAAGAAGAUGUAAAACCAAACUUUACUAAGAGAGAAGGUCCAAAGCCAUACUUGACCAACUGCCCAAAAGGCCUUGGCUAGUCCUAUUUAUAUCUUAUUCUACCACCUUGGACUUUCUAGAAUGUUCUUAGAUAAUGGACUUUACUUAGAUAACUAUUCUAAAUUCUUUCUAGAAGGUUCCAUGGUGGACCUUCCUAAAUAACUAUCCUAAAUUUUUUUAGAAUAUUCUACAAUGGAUCCUACAUAGUCCACUAACUUAGUUCUAAUUUUAAAAACUUCUAUAACUUCUCAAACAUGGUUUCAACUAUCUAUUCCUAUGUGUCAACAAUACAAAUAUCUUAUCCAUAGCUUAUUACAUGCAUACUAUUUUCAUGGAAUUAAAUUAUAUUAUUUUUAACUUGAUGACAAUGUGAUAGAUAGUUGAGGCUAUUGUAGUUUAAGUAUCUAAAUCUAUAGUGCCUUAAUUUAAUCUACUUUGGAUUAUUAAUUGACAUGUUGGAUCUUGCAAUACUUUGUAUAGUAUUAUUUGUGAUGUUAUCUUGUAUUGAGAAGAUGUUAUUGGUUUUGUAUAAACUAUUCCUUCAAGUACAAUGUCCUAUUAUGGUUAACUUGUUGUUUUGGUUGAUGAUUCAACAUUGUUGAUUCUAAAAACUUCUUAUUUCUUAUAAUGUGAUGAGUUACUCCAAAAUCAAGAUACUAUGGAUGAUUCUUCUCAAGUCCUCGUAUAAUCUCAACAAGUAUAAUGAUGAUAUCUUAAAUAGUACUUGAUAUGUUAAAAAUCUUUAUUUGUUACUUUGUUGACAUUGUCAUCUUUUUUUUGCAUCAAAUAUUUGUUGCAGCAAAGACAAGCAGAGUAAUCAAGUGAGCCACAUACAAAACAUUGAAAUCAUGUGUAUUGAUCAUUGCAUAAUUGUCUUUGUUGAAGUCCUUGACCAACAAAGUAAGACUAUCCUUAUGUUGGAUGAAUACCAUGGUCACAUAAGUUAUUUUAAUCUCAAUGCCAAUUACUCUGUGUUCUUCCUCAAUUGCAACUAUAGAAAUUAAAGUAAUUGUAUUUCAAUUGUAUUGCUAGUACAUCUUCUUCUCCCAGUCUAUUUUUGUGCAACUAAAGAUGGUGUUGCUCAUUCAAUAAUUUUCAACUAAUAGAUGCGAAGCUUAGUAAUUUAUCUAAAAUUAUUAAGCUAUAGAUUAUUCCCUCAUAGCUUGAAAGAAAUCUAUUUAACAUAAGUUGAAUGAAUAUUUCAUCUACUACUUUGUGUCCUAUUAUAGAUAGAUUUUUUUAUAGAUCUCACGCAAUUUGCAAGUAUUUUUCAAUCAAAUUACCUUCUGCCAUUCUUAUAUUGUGAAGGCAUGUAGAUAGCAAGAAGAUUUGCAAUGAAUCAUCAACUUCAAAUAUGUUCUUUCAGACUUGCAAUGUAUCUAAAGGAUCAUCAUUCUUUGAAAUAAUUUCUAUGAAUUUAUCUUUUACGGCCAUUACAAUCAAUGUCUAAACCUUGAGCUUGUAAAUCUUCAAUUGUUCAAAUAUGGAUGUCAAUGCUCCUACUAUGGUUGAAAAUUAAAUUCAUACCAUCUUCUUUUCUAUUAGAUUCUACAGAUUUUUUCUCUUUUGUAAUGCCUUCAACUUUAGCUUCCAUAUAUCGUAGUUUGCUAAACCUUCUAACUUGUGCUUUCACUAAUUGUGACCAUAGUUAGUUGUUCUCUUGUCAUUAUAAGUUAGGUGAUAUGAGAACAAAACUACAAGAAACAAAAACUAUUCUAAGAGCUAUGUUCACUAGUAAGUGUCGAGAUUUUAACUCUACUUGGAUACCAUGUUGAGAUCAAUUACAUACUUUUCUUUAUUGAGUAAUGUGUCACUUGAAUACAUGUAAGAUUAGUUUGUCAUUUUGAUAAUUGUUAUUACAAGACUUGAAGAAUCAUACAACAUUGCCAAUUUCAUCCAAAAAUAUUUGAGUUGUUUAUCUAUAGACUAUUGUGAUUAUGCCAAGUUACAAUAGUUCAAGUGAUGAUGUAACAAUGGUAACUAACAAGACGUUGGUCUUGGUGAGUUUACUUCAACAUUUAUAUAGUCUAUAAAUACAGUGAGAGUGAAGUUUUUGUAAAAGAUUGACUUGAAUUUAUCAGGUCGUCUGAAAUCAUGUAUUAAUUCAACACAUAUGAAAUAUAUCAUCACUCUUGCCACGAACUUCGUCUUAGGAGUCCUGUCUAUGGCGUCAACCCUGUGAUGUUGAGGUGAUAGGGGGACUGUAGCUGCGAGGUUCUUUAAUUUCUUAAUUUCAGAACUUUAAGCAAACCUUGCCCUAAAUCAACAUUGAUCUUGCUGCACAUCGUUCAUGUGCGUAGGUAUCGUUCAGCUUCUGAUGCAAGAUAUGAGCAUGGCUUGGAGAAUACCGUGACCUCAGCAAUGUCCUGUGGCCACCUCCACGACCUUGAUCCUUUCUCACCAAAAUAGCAUUGGCGCAUGACAUUGACUUAAAAGGAAGCUCUCAUUAGCUUGACCGAUAUCCUACCGAUCGUCAGGCCGUUAGUGAUUUUGCAAUCUGGCUUUCUGAGGGCACCUGCAUAAUUAAAAGCUUUGCUCACGACCCACAAUUUGCAGAUUAUGUAGUUUUUUCCUUCCCAGCCACUUAUCAACCUGGAUCUGAAUUUGCGUUGAACAGGUUUUUUCUACUAGAUGAAGAUUCUGAUACUAGGGAAAAUUUUCCAUCUGUGAGUACCUGCACAUUAGGUAUCGUCAGAUUGCAAAUUGGAGAAGCCGACAAAUAUUUGAACCAACUCAUGGCAAGAGUCCGUGGCUCCCUGGUAACCCUUCAAGGCGUCUGCCAAAGCCUCUUAAAUCGAGUCUGGAUUUCAACAGUGAGGUUUGCACUUUGCGAUGAUGCAGGAGAAACAGCUUUCACUAGAAAUUGCCUCGGUUCACGCCGCACUGCACGGGUACGAUCUCAGUCAUACAAUUUGUAUCAAACUCUGCAAGCGAUGGACAGCAGAAGAAAGACGAGCUCUCGAGAGUAUUUCCAGUUGCUAAAGACGAGUUGACUGCAAUUCAACUCAUGUUGUAGGAUACGGUAACUCAGAUCAGUCAUGUAAGACGCCCCUAAUUGCCCAAUAAUAAUCGAGUUACCACGAGAGUGUCAAGCGACAUAAUGCCACUCACUAUUCUCUUGGCCCGCAACCAUUCCUCCCAAAAACUAGCAGUGACAAACUUUCAUUUGGGUCAAACGUAUUUCGCAGAUGUCGGAGGAACAUAGCAGGGCAAUGCCAUUUUUUGCAAGUGUGGAGCGACGAGUAUGCAGGUAUUCUUACAGUGGCUCAAUACCUCAACUCCUGCAAAGCUGAAGCAUGACCAACUGAGGCUGGCUACAUCAUGUUGCGGAAGAUGAUAUCUGCUCCGGCUGGUAUUUGCAGGGUUUCUGUUCAAUACAGAUACUCUGCAAGUCAAAAGUUGCACAUGGUCUACGGAACAUGAUAGAACAAGGGUUCCACAGCCACCGACAAGCAAUUUGUUCUCGGAUUUGCUUACCCCAGAAGCACUGCCGAUCAGUACUCCAUUAUCGAUAGUAUUCGUGCAACUUUCAGGUGCACACAGUACUUCACCCUCAUGAAUGUUCCGUGCGUGGAUUAUUUUAGGACCAAGUUAACAUGCAUCCUGCAAUGUACUGACUGCAAGCACCAUCAGGGCAACAGCUGUUGAUUUUUUGGUUGCCGUUCACAUUCUCAUCUGCAGGAUUCUUGUGUCGCCACCACGCCCCAAAUUCUCCCUAUCUCCCUUUUUUUUGCUCGAAAAGACAACACGACCAAUCGGAAUCUAUGCCAGCAGAUACUCCGAUAACGUACUCCGGAUCCCCGAGAGACACAGAUUGCCUUGAAAAUCCUUUCAUGGCUCAGGUCCUAGCUGCAUGAUUUCCGAAAACUGGUAGUCCAGCGGCAUUGACGUUACACCCUGGCGCCUACGAGGACCAGAACCUGCCUCCCACGGACAACCCUGGAGUAGGAGCAGUUGGGCACUUUUCCGCAUCAAUAAGAGUAAUUGCUAAUACAAUUCGAAAGGGAAGGCGGGGUGACCCACUUGUUGAAAUGCUGAACAUGCGGGAUUCAUGUGGGAAACGCUCCCGCACAGUUAAGAGCAUCGAAACACCGAAGUGAGAGAAACGUGGACGAGGGAAUGUCCCAAAGCAUGCAAUCCCCUCACUUGACCAUACACCGAAAAGCAUCCUGCCCUUCACAGAUCCUAAAUUUAGUCAUCCCUAAAAUUCACGCUGCAGCAAAAAUCUCCGUAACCCAGUCACACUAGAGACUCUGAAACAGCACUAUCCACCGCUACUCGUUCAUCAUCAUCGUCGUCGUCGUCGUCGUUUUUGGGGAGCCUGAAAAGCCAUGGCAGCCCAUUGUUCUCGGUGGAGAGAGAAUAUCUGCAAGUGAAUUCGACUUCGGAGGAUCCCUCAUCCUGCAAUCUUCGCCUCCAAGAUCACCAAGACUCCCACUUUUUUGUGCCGAGGUUGACUAUUUUUGCCAUUCUGCUUUAAUGCGGUGUGGGAAGGGUGUUGUUGAUUCUGUCUGUACUUGCGUGAGAUGAUUCGAAAAAUUGAGGGAAAGGGUCUUGGAAAGUGUGCAGAAUUGCGAGUCUGAGUGCGAUUUUGCUGGUCCCUGUUCCUCGUUUCACUUGGUUUUAUUUCUCUCGGUUUAGGAAUUUCGAACUGGAGUGUGGGUUUUGUGCGUGUGAGUUAAACAACUGUGGGUGAGUGAUUAUGAAUGUUUGCAGUUUGCUUCAGUUACCUUCUAAAGGGGAUUAAUCAAUGUUUGUUUAUGCAGUUAUUGAUAAAAGAAAAGUGUGUAGAAAUUCAAGGUGAGGAUAUCAUAAUUAUUGUUACUUAAAAGUAAACAAAAUAUAUAUAUAUAUAUAUAUAUAUACAUAUAAGAAAAAAGCAAGAAAAACAGACAGAAACAGAAAACUCUUUUGCAUGAUGCUUAUUACAAGCUGAAACAUUAGGACCUUAAUAUUCUAGAAUAUUUGUAUUGUAAAUAUAUAUGUUGAAAAUAAUAUGUAUUUUAGGGUUUUGCUUGAACCUUGAAUUUUGAGUCUUAAAAAUAACUAUUGAAGAAAUAAAUUAGAAAAUCAAAUAUGUUUGUAUUUAGAUUAAGAUAUUCCAUAAAUUUUAGAAACAAAAAUUUAAAAAUAUUUUUUAAGUAAAUAAAAAAAUUAAACUAUAUAUGUAUGUGUGUGAAUAUAUAUAUAAAUAUAUAUAUAUAUAUCAAGAGAGAGAGAGAGAUUUUGAAUGAUUAGAUUUUAUGGUGGCCUAACAAUAAAUUUCAGCUUCUUUAUCAUAUAACUUAAAUAAUUAAAGCUAAAAAUAUAUUCCCAAUAAAGACUCUGUUUUUUGGCACCUCAUCUAUUUAUUUUCACCACUUUUUUAACAUAAUUAAAUAUUCUACCAAAUUAAAUUUAUUUUAAGAAACAUGUAAAAGAUACCAAUUAUAAGGUUUUUGAUAUGUCAAAAGAUGUACUUGUGUAUGUUUUAUCUUUAUCUUUAUCUUUUUUUCAUUACAAAGGUAAGAGUAAACCUUGCCAUAUAUUAUAACACCAAAAAGUAUAUUUAUAGAAGAAAAUUAAAUACUUGAAAUAUCUCAAUAAAAAGCAAGUUUGUAUAUUUGAUAAAAUAUAAAAAAAUAAAAAAAACAAAUGACUUAGUAUGUUUAUAAAUGUUUUUUAGAGAAUCUUUUUUUGAAUUUUUACGAAAUUAAAAUCUAUCAUGCAAUUGUUUGGUAUCUUAAAUCUUAAUUUUAGAUCUUGAUCCUAAAAUCAAAUUUUAAACUAAAAUUCUAAAUAUUGAUUUAAAUUCUAAAUUUAAAAAUAUGAUCCGAAAUACUCAUCUUAGGUUUCUGAAUGAAACUCUAAUUUUGAGCCUCAAGAAAAAUCUUUAAGAAUUAGAAAAAGAUAAAAAAAAUAAAUAAAUAAAUAAAAAAUACAUAUUUUUGUUUAAAUAAAGAUAAUUGUGAAAUGAUAAUAAUGAAAAAAUAAAAAUAUGUUUCUUUAAGUGUACAAAAAAAUGUAAACUUAUUAUUUUUUCUUUUAAUAUAUCUAUAUAUAUAUAUAUAUAUAUAUAUAUAUAUAUAUAUAUAUUCAUUACAAAUAAAUGAGAUUUUUAUUUAGAUUUUAUAAUGCUCUAAUAAUGUAUAAUAUCUCCUUCAUCACAUAUCACAUAUAAAUAAAUCAUUAAAUUUUUUUAUAACAAGGAAUUUAUAAUAUAUAUAUAUAUAUAUAUAUAUAUAUAUAUUUUUUACAAUUAAAAAAUUAAAUUGUUGUAUAUAUGUAAUUUAAUUACUUUUAAGAAAAUAUCUUAUAGAUUUUUAAAAUUCAGAAUAGACCAAAAAACAUGUGUUAACAUAUUAGAAUCAUUGUAUAAAUCUAAAGUAACUUAAAUUAUAUUAUUUUUAGUACUAUUGCUAUAUUUCUACUCUCGUAAAUAAUAAUUCUAUUAUUUUUUACAUUUUAAUACAACUAAUACUAGAAAUAAUUCCAAUUUUAAAAAAAUUGAUCAAUUAAGAAAUCAAAGUAAAAGAUUUUAUUUAAUUUUUUUAGAAGUAUGAAUACUAAAUAAUAAAAUUCUUAAAUUUGCAAUAAAUGCAAUACAAUGACUUUAAUCAUGCCAAUUAAACAAUAUUUUAUCAGAAUAUACAUAGUUCAAACAAUAUUCUAGCAAGUAAUGUCUUAAACAUUUUCUUUGUCAUAAUUACAAUCACCAAAGUAAUAUAUUCUCAUAUUUUUUAUUCAUAUAAAUAAUAAAAAAAUAUUGAUUUAUUAUUACCUUUGAAUAUUAAAUCUGUUUACAAUAUUUUUAAUUAAACUGUAUAUGGAAUAAUUUUUAAUUUACUUAAUUUCUUUUAUUUUUCCUCGAUAUUUUAAAAAAUAAAUUAUUCUAAAUUAAAAUUAUGCCAAACAAUCUGUUUUUUUAGCAUCUUUUAUACAAUUUUUAAAUUUUUAAAUUUUUCUUGCAUUCAUUUUUCAUAUUUUAAUUGGAUUUUAAUUAAAAAAUAAAUCAAACAUUAUAAUAUACCAACAUUUAGUUCUUCUAAAGUCUAAAUUAUUUCAUUUUAUAUAAAACUCAAUUAAAUAUUAGAUUUGUCUUAUAGAUCAUGUUAAACAUUUUUUUAUCUACAUACAUUAAGUGAUACUAAUAUUUUAAAAUGUUUUAUUAAAUGGUUCUAUUUAUUGAUAUCUAACUUAAUGUUAUUUUUUGUUUAACAUAAAUCAUAUAUUUGAUGACAACUAUUUAUAAUAGUCACUUUUUAAACAUUAAAUAUUAUACAUUUAUAGUAUAUUUUUAGUUUACAACAAAAUAAACAUAUAUAGUUAUUGAUGCUAAAUAUACCUAAGUUUAUUUGCAGCCAAUCUAUGAGUCAAUAUAUGCAUACAAAAUUUACAUAUUGUUUAAAUUUAUAGUUGCAAUUACUUUACUUAAACAAAUUUUGUUU
This 39525-nucleotide long non-coding RNA is filed under the name Physcomitrium patens. RNAcentral describes it as "long non-coding RNA (PPAT_LNC002492)". Lineage: Eukaryota; Viridiplantae; Streptophyta; Bryopsida; Funariales; Funariaceae. The record is from RNAcentral.